RNAcentral lists this ribosomal RNA (706 nucleotides) under uncultured bacterium. Its description in RNAcentral is "bacterial SSU rRNA". It matches the Rfam family "Bacterial small subunit ribosomal RNA", at positions 1 to 753 of the family's 1533-position model. The record is from RNAcentral.
AAUUCGAUUAGUUUGAUCCUGGCUCAGAGCGAACGCUGGCGGCAGGCCUAAUACAUGCAAGUCGAACGCACUCUUCGGAGUGAGUGGCAGACGGGUGAGUAACGCGUGGGAACCUUCCCAAUGGUACGGAAUAACUCCGGGAAACCGGUGCUAAUACCGUAUAAGCCCCUCGGGGGAAAGAUUUAUCGCCAUUGGAUGGGCCCGCGUCGGAUUAGCUAGUUGGUAAGGUAAUGGCUUACCAAGGCUACGAUCCGUAGCUGGUCUGAGAGGAUGAUCAGCCACACUGGGACUGAGACACGGCCCAGACUCCUACGGGAGGCAGCAGUAGGGAAUCUUGGACAAUGGGCGAAAGCCUGAUCCAGCCAUGCCGCGUGAGUGAAGAAGGCCUUAGGGUUGUAAAGCUCUUUUGGCGGGGACGAUAAUGACGGUACCCGCAGAAUAAGCCCCGGCUAACUUCGUGCCAGCAGCCGCGGUAAUACGAAGGGGGCUAGCGUUGUUCGGAAUUACUGGGCGUAAAGCGCACGCAGGCGGAUUGAUUAGUCGGGGGUGAAAUCCCGGGGCUCAACCUCGGAAUUGCCUUCGAUACUGUCAGUCUUGAGUCCGGGAGAGGUGAGUGGAAUUCCUAGUGUAGAGGUGAAAUUCGUAGAUAUUAGGAAGAACACCAGUGGCGAAGGCGGCUCACUGGCCCGGUACUGACGCUCAUGUG